This 253-nucleotide ribosomal RNA is filed under the name uncultured bacterium. RNAcentral describes it as "partial 16S ribosomal RNA". It matches the Rfam family "Bacterial small subunit ribosomal RNA", at positions 524 to 776 of the family's 1533-position model. The record is from RNAcentral.
UACGUAGGGUGCGAGCGUUAAUCGGAAUUACUGGGCGUAAAGCGUGCGCAGGCGGUUUUUUAAGACAGGUGUGGAAUCCCCGGGCCUAACCUGGGAACUGCAUUUGUGACUGCAAGGCUAGAGUGUAGCAGAGGGGGGUAGAAUUCCACGUGUAGCAGUGAAAUGCGUAGAUAUGUGGAGGAAUACCGAUGGCGAAGGCAGCUCCCUGGGCUAACACUGACGCUCAUGCGCGAAAGCGUGGGGAGCAAACAGG